CACAGCUACAUUGGAUGAACUACAUGCGUCAAUUGACAGACAUUCCAGCUUGUUGCAAACUGCCGGUUGCUUUCAAUACCCUGAUGGUGUGGAUGAGAAAGAUAAUAUCCUCAAGGAUUUCAUGCAGUGGUAUAUCAUUUACCGCAACCAUUUCUCAACACAAAGAUUCAACGAUGGCCUUUCCACACUAGAUGUUAAUCAUGCUUUGGAGCAGCAUGCAUCUGUAUUCAGGACCUUUAUGUGCGUAAGUGUGAAACACCUGACAUCUGCAACAUUGGAGGACAUCUUUGAAGUUCAGUUCAGUGAAAAAGGCAGCACAAGACGACAGGAAGAAACCAGAGUAGUGGGAUUCUGGAGAGACUAUCUUCUGGAGACAGAAGAUAAAUGAACGGGACUCUUCCUCCAGGAUAUCUUGAUGUUUGCCACAGGAUUAAACACACUCCCUCCCUCUGGAAUUCAGCCACGACCCAAACUGCUUUUUCACCUGACUUCUCGCUUUCCAGUCAGCAGCACCUGUGCCAACACAAUAGAAAUACCGAUGUCCAAGACUUACGACCAGUUUGAAAAGGUCAUGGAUUUUGGAAUCCAAAACUCUCCUGGUUUUGGACUUCUCUCCUCUAAUGACUUCUCUAAUUUCUGUGUCUUGUUCUGUGAAAGUUGGACUCACAUUUCAUAACAUAUCAGCCAUGUUCUUUAGUGUGAUAUAAUUUUCCACACAGGACUCCCAAGUCAAAGGCUGCAUCAGAC
Molecule: long non-coding RNA, 747 nt
Organism: Osmerus eperlanus (European smelt)
Lineage: Eukaryota; Metazoa; Chordata; Actinopteri; Osmeriformes; Osmeridae
Exons: 3
Source: RefSeq, a predicted model, not a curated record